RNAcentral lists this ribosomal RNA (253 nucleotides) under uncultured bacterium. RNAcentral's name for it is "partial 16S ribosomal RNA". It matches the Rfam family "Bacterial small subunit ribosomal RNA", at positions 524 to 776 of the family's 1533-position model. The record is from RNAcentral.
UACGUAGGGGGCGAGCGUUAUCCGGAUUUACUGGGUGUAAAGGGAGCGCAGGCGGCGUGGCAAGUCAGAUGUGAAAACCCGGGGCCCAACCCCGGGACUGCAUUUGAAACUGCCAUGCUGGAGUGCCGGAGAGGUAAGUGGAAUUCCUAGUGUAGCGGUGAAAUGCGUAGAUAUUAGGAGGAACACCAGUGGCGAAGGCGGCUUACUGGACGGUAACUGACGCUGAGGCUCGAAAGCGUGGGGAGCAAACAGG